Molecule: ribosomal RNA, 496 nt
Filed under: uncultured bacterium
Lineage: Bacteria
Description: partial 16S ribosomal RNA
Rfam family: Bacterial small subunit ribosomal RNA
Source: RNAcentral
GAUGAACGCUGGCGGCGUGCCUAAUACAUGCAAGUCGAGCGAACAGACGAGGAGCUUGCUCCUCUGACGUUAGCGGCGGACGGGUGAGUAACACGUGGAUAACCUACCUAUAAGACUGGGAUAACUUCGGGAAACCGGAGCUAAUACCGGAUAAUAUAUUGAACCGCAUGGUUCAAUAGUGAAAGACGGUUUUGCUGUCACUUAUAGAUGGAUCCGCGCCGCAUUAGCUAGUUGGUAAGGUAACGGCUUACCAAGGCAACGAUGCGUAGCCGACCUGAGAGGGUGAUCGGCCACACUGGAACUGAGACACGGUCCAGACUCCUACGGGAGGCAGCAGUAGGGAAUCUUCCGCAAUGGGCGAAAGCCUGACGGAGCAACGCCGAGUGAGUGAUGAAGGUCUUCGGAUCGUAAAACUCUGUUAUUAGGGAAGAACAAAUGUGUAAGUAACUAUGCACGUCUUGACGGUACCUAAUCAGAAAGCACGGCUAACUACGUG